AGUGAACGCUGGCGGUAGGCCUAACACAUGCAAGUCGAACGGCAGCACAGUAAGAGCUUGCUCUUACGGGUGGCGAGUGGCGGACGGGUGAGGAAUACAUCGGAAUCUACUUUUUCGUGGGGGAUAACGUAGGGAAACUUACGCUAAUACCGCAUACGACCUACGGGUGAAAGCAGGGGAUCUUCGGACCUUGCGCGAUUGAAUGAGCCGAUGUCGGAUUAGCUAGUUGGCGGGGUAAAGGCCCACCAAGGCGACGAUCCGUAGCUGGUCUGAGAGGAUGGAUAAGCCACCUGGAAACUGAAAACCGGCCCAAACCCUUAGGGGGGGCAGAGGGGGGGAUUUUUGGCAAAGGGGCGCAAGCCUGACCCACCCAUACCGGGGGGGGGAAGAAGGCCUUCGGGUUUAAAAGCCUUUUUUUGGGGAAAAAAAAGCAGCAGGUUAAAACCCCGCUGUUUGGAGGGAACCAAAAAAAAAAGCACCGGCAAAUUCGGG
RNAcentral lists this ribosomal RNA (492 nucleotides) under uncultured bacterium. RNAcentral describes it as "partial 16S ribosomal RNA". It matches the Rfam family "Bacterial small subunit ribosomal RNA", at positions 29 to 506 of the family's 1533-position model. The record is from RNAcentral.